UGUCUUGACCAAAUUACGUGCCGCAGUCGCGGUAAUACRUAGAAGACUAGUGUUAUUCAUGUGUAAUCGGUUUAAAGGGUACCUAGACGGUAAAUCAAGCCUAUAAAAAAUAUAAAGGAAGGGACUAAUUUACUAGAGUUACUUAUGAGGGGGUAUUAAAGUACUACUGGUGUAGAGAUGAAAUUCUGUCAUACCAGCAAAACGACGGCACAGGUAUAGGCGAAAGCAUCCCCUUAUGUGAUAACUGACGUUGAGGGACGAAGGCUUUGUGUAGCGACCAGGAUUAGAUACCCCAGUAGUCAAAGCAGAAAAUGAUGAAUGUCAUAGAUUAGAUAUAUAAGUUUAUUCUAUAAAUGAAAGUGUAAGCAUUCCACCUCAAGAGUAAUUUGGCAACAUUGGAACUGAAAUCAUUAGACCGUUUCUGAAACCAGUAGUGAAGUAUGUUGUUUAAUUUGAUGGCCCGCAAAAAACCUUACCACAAUUUGAAUAUUUAUAUCUUUUAUUGUUUUUCUUCUGAUUUUUCUUCUGAUUUUACUUCUGAUUUUACUUCAAAUGAAGUAAAAGAAAGAAGUAAAAGAAAGAAGAAAAAUAAAAAGAGGCAAUAAGAUAUAUUUACAAGCGUUGCACGGCUGUCUUCAGUUAAUGUCGCGAGACUCUGGUUAGUUCCAUAAAAUUAACGUAAACCCUUACUUUAUUUUUAUAUAGAGUAGUUCCCCGCUAUAUUGGAUAUGAUAACAGGGACUAAGACAAGUCAUCAUGGCCUAAAUAUUGUG
Molecule: ribosomal RNA, 773 nt
Filed under: Alectoria sarmentosa
Lineage: Eukaryota; Fungi; Ascomycota; Lecanoromycetes; Lecanorales; Parmeliaceae
Description: SSU rRNA
Rfam family: Bacterial small subunit ribosomal RNA
Source: RNAcentral